UCCCUGUAGCUCAGUCGGUAAAGAGUCUGCCUGCAAUACAGAAGACCCAGGUUCAAUCCCUGGGUUGGGAA
RNAcentral lists this transfer RNA (71 nucleotides) under Bos taurus (domestic cattle). It matches the Rfam family "tRNA". From Rfam's summary of the family: Transfer RNA (tRNA) molecules are approximately 80 nucleotides in length. Their secondary structure includes four short double-helical elements and three loops (D, anti-codon, and T loops). Further hydrogen bonds mediate the characteristic L-shaped molecular structure. tRNAs have two regions of fundamental functional importance: the anti-codon, which is responsible for specific mRNA codon recognition, and the 3' end, to which the tRNAs corresponding amino acid is attached (by aminoacyl-tRNA synthetases). tRNAs cope with the degeneracy of the genetic code in two manners: having more than one tRNA (with a specific anti-codon) for a particular amino acid; and 'wobble' base-pairing, i.e. permitting non-standard base-pairing at the 3rd anti-codon position. The record is from Rfam by way of RNAcentral. Lineage: Eukaryota; Metazoa; Chordata; Mammalia; Artiodactyla; Bovidae. RNAcentral also lists the same sequence under 4 other names.